Molecule: ribosomal RNA, 350 nt
Filed under: uncultured bacterium
Lineage: Bacteria
Description: bacterial SSU rRNA
Rfam family: Bacterial small subunit ribosomal RNA
Source: RNAcentral
AGAGUUUGAUCAUGGCUCAGGAUGAACGCUAGCUACAGGCUUAACACAUGCAAGUCGAGGGGAAACGACAUCGAAAGCUUGCUUUUGAUGGGCGUCGACCGGCGCACGGGUGGGUAACGCGUAUCCAACCUGCCCACCACUUGGGGAUAACCUUGCGAAAGUAAGACUAAUACCCAAUGACGUCUCUAGAAGACAUCUGAAAGAGGUUAAAGAUUUAUCGGUGAUGGAUGGGGAUGCGUCUGAUUAGCUUGUUGGCGGGUAACGGCCACCAAAGCAACGAUCAGUAGGGGUUCUGAGAGGAAGGUCCCCCANAUUGGAACUGAGACACGGUCCAAACUCCUACGGGAGCA